Molecule: ribosomal RNA, 677 nt
Filed under: Debaryomyces hansenii
Lineage: Eukaryota; Fungi; Ascomycota; Pichiomycetes; Serinales; Debaryomycetaceae
Description: eukaryotic LSU rRNA
Rfam family: 5.8S ribosomal RNA (bases 267-420)
Source: RNAcentral
UUGGUCAUUUAGAGGAAGUAAAAGUCGUAACAAGGUUUCCGUAGGUGAACCUGCGGAAGGAUCAUUACAGUAUUCUUUUUGCCAGCGCUUAAUUGCGCGGCGAAAAAACCUUACACACAGUGUUUUUUGUUAUUACAAGAACUUUUGCUUUGGUCUGGACUAGAAAUAGUUUGGGCCAGAGGUUUACUGAACUAAACUUCAAUAUUUAUAUUGAAUUGUUAUUUAUUUAAUUGUCAAUUUGUUGAUUAAAUUCAAAAAAUCUUCAAAACUUUCAACAACGGAUCUCUUGGUUCUCGCAUCGAUGAAGAACGCAGCGAAAUGCGAUAAGUAAUAUGAAUUGCAGAUUUUCGUGAAUCAUCGAAUCUUUGAACGCACAUUGCGCCCUCUGGUAUUCCAGAGGGCAUGCCUGUUUGAGCGUCAUUUCUCUCUCAAACCUUCGGGUUUGGUAUUGAGUGAUACUCUUAGUUGAACUAGGCGUUUGCUUGAAAUGUAUUGGCAUGAGUGGUACUGGAUAGUGCUAUAUGACUUUCAAUGUAUUAGGUUUAUCCAACUCGUUGAAUAGUUUAAUGGUAUAUUUCUCGGUAUUCUAGGCUCGGCCUUACAAUAUAACAAACAAGUUUGACCUCAAAUCAGGUAGGAUCACCCGCUGAACUUAAGCAUAUCAAUAAGCGGAGGAA